GCAGUCGAGCGGACAGAUGGGAGCUUGCUCCCUGAUGUUAGCGGCGGACGGGUGAGUAACACGUGGGUAACCUGCCUGUAAGACUGGGAUAACUCCGGGAAACCGGGGCUAAUACCGGAUGCUUGUUUGAACCGCAUGGUUCAAACAUAAAAGGUGGCUUCGGCUACCACUUACAGAUGGACCCGCGGCGCAUUAGCUAGUUGGUGAGGUAAUGGCUCACCAAGGCAACGAUGCGUAGCCGACCUGAGAGGGUGAUCGGCCACACUGGGACUGAGACACGGCCCAGACUCCUACGGGAGGCAGCAGUAGGGAAUCUUCCGCAAUGGACGAAAGUCUGACGGAGCAACGCCGCGUGAGUGAUGAAGGUUUUCGGAUCGUAAAGCUCUGUUGUUAGGGAAGAACAAGUACCGUUCGAAUAGGGCGGUACCUUGACGGUACCUAACCAGAAAGCCACGGCUAACUACGUGCCAGCAGCCGCGGUAAUACGUAGGUGGCAAGCGUUGUCCGGAAUUAUUGGGCGUAAAGGGCUCGCAGGCGGUUCCUUAAGUCUGAUGUGAAAGCCCCCGGCUCAACCGGGGAGGGUCAUUGGAAACUGGGGAACUUGAGUGCAGAAGAGGAGAGUGGAAUUCCACGUGUAGCGGUGAAAUGCGUAGAGAUGUGGAGGAACACCAGUGGCGAAGGCGACUCUCUGGUCUGUAACUGACGCUGAGGAGCGAAAGCGUGGGGAGCGAACAGGAUUAGAUACCCUGGUAGUCCACGCCGUAAACGAUGAGUGCUAAGUGUUAGGGGGUUUCCGCCCCUUAGUGCUGCAGCUAACGCAUUAAGCACUCCGCCUGGGGAGUACGGUCGCAAGACUGAAACUCAAAGGAAUUGACGGGGG
RNAcentral lists this ribosomal RNA (880 nucleotides) under Bacillus mojavensis. Its description in RNAcentral is "bacterial SSU rRNA". It matches the Rfam family "Bacterial small subunit ribosomal RNA", at positions 57 to 919 of the family's 1533-position model. The record is from RNAcentral. Lineage: Bacteria; Bacillati; Bacillota; Bacilli; Caryophanales; Bacillaceae.